GCACUAUCUCCAAGUCUAAACGGUACAAACAAGAAGCUGCAAAAUUUAAAGCUGAGAUAGGCAUUCAAUGCUAGAAGGAGGUCUUUCCAAUCAAUAGCUUCUUGGCCAAUCAAGACCAAACUUUGCCAAAAGUGCGAAUGCAAAGUGCUCUCUCUCUUAAAAAGAAGGCCAAUUGUGAGUGAGACAUUCAAGGUUUUGUAGAAGCGAAUGGCAGCUGAAGGUUAAGAGCCAUCGAGAAUAGGAAUGUUUUUUUAUUCAUGUGUAGCUAGCUAAGAAUGCUCUUGUUUGGUGCAUUAUCUUGUUACUUGAAUGUAUUGAUGCUUGAAUAAUGGUUCUUGAAUGAUAUAUAUGGAUUAGAGUAUUGUUU
This 367-nucleotide long non-coding RNA is filed under the name Rosa chinensis. Its description in RNAcentral is "sRNA RchiOBHm_Chr1g0346621". Lineage: Eukaryota; Viridiplantae; Streptophyta; Magnoliopsida; Rosales; Rosaceae. The record is from RNAcentral.